This 23-nucleotide small nuclear RNA is filed under the name Arabidopsis thaliana (thale cress). RNAcentral describes it as "snRNA_10727". Lineage: Eukaryota; Viridiplantae; Streptophyta; Magnoliopsida; Brassicales; Brassicaceae. The record is from RNAcentral.
CCCUACAUUUUCUAGAGGCAGGA